GAUGAACGCUCGCGAUAGGCUUAACACAUGCAAGUCGAGGGGCAGCAUGGUCUUAGCUUGCUAAGACUGAUGGCGACCGGCGCACGGGUGCGUAACGCGUAUGCAACUUGCCUCACAGAGGGGGAUAACCCGUCGAAAGACGGACUAAUACCGCGUACACUUGGGAUAGGGCAUCCUGACCCAAGGAAAUGAAAUUCGCUGUGAGAUAGGCAUGCGUCCCAUUAGCUAGUUGGUGAGGUAACGGCUCACCAAGGCGACGAUGGGUAGGGGAACUGAGAGGUUGAACCCCCACACUGGUACUGAGACACGGACCAGACUCCUACGGGAGGCAGCAGUGAGGAAUAUUGGUCAAUGGGCGAGAGCCUGAACCAGCCAAGUCGCGUGAAGGAUGACUGUCUUAUGGAUUGUAAACUUCUUUUAUACGGGAAUAACAAGAGCCACGUGUGGCUCCCUGCAUGUACCGUAUGAAUAAGCAUCGGCUAACUCCGU
RNAcentral lists this ribosomal RNA (489 nucleotides) under uncultured bacterium. RNAcentral describes it as "partial 16S ribosomal RNA". It matches the Rfam family "Bacterial small subunit ribosomal RNA", at positions 28 to 506 of the family's 1533-position model. The record is from RNAcentral.